RNAcentral lists this ribosomal RNA (255 nucleotides) under uncultured bacterium. RNAcentral's name for it is "partial 16S ribosomal RNA". It matches the Rfam family "Bacterial small subunit ribosomal RNA", at positions 524 to 777 of the family's 1533-position model. The record is from RNAcentral.
UACGGGGGGGGCAAGCGUUGUUCGGAAUUACUGGGCGUAAAGGGCUCGUAGGCGGCCAACUAAGUCAGACGUGAAAUCCCUCGGCUUAACCGGGGAACUGCGUCUGAUACUGGAUGGCUUGAGUUUGGGAGAGGGAUGCGGAAUUCCAGGUGUAGCGGUGAAAUGCGUAGAUAUCUGGAGGAACACCGGUGGCGAAGGCGGCAUCCUAGACCAACACUGACGCUGAGUGAGCGAAAGCCAGGGGAGCAAACGGGG